UCAUCUUACUGGUAUAAGGAAACUUAGAGAGAGAAACCGAAUCCUCAUGGGUGUUGAUUCACCGAGUACCAUCGACCAUAUUCAUAGAUAUUGAAUCAGUGUGGUGUAGAGCUCGGAGAUAAUCAUAGAGAGCAGAAGCUAGUUGAUGGCAAUAAUGAACUGCUUGCUUCAUCCAGCAUCUUCCCUCUCUUCAGCAACCUACUUUUUCUUCAUUUGUACACCUUCAAAGAUCCACGCUCCAUUUCUCGUUAGGCUACAUUUAGGGAGAGAAACACCAGUUUUGGAGGUUGAAAGAGGAUGAAUAGUGGGUGUUUGGGGUGGAUUUCCAGUUUUGUGGUGACAUGAUGUAGAAAUGGCAGUUUUUGGAGAGGCAAUUCUGGUUUGUGGUUUGUGGAUUGGAUGGUGCUGAGGGAGGGAGGGAGGCAGAGAGCGAGCAUCUGAGAGUGAAUACAUCUGAGAGGGAGGCCGGGAGGUUGCAUCUGAGAGUGAAUACAAUCUGAUCCAAAGGGAGAGAGCAUCUGAGGCAAUGUCUCUAUUGUCUUCACUCGGGUCAGAUUGUUUGUCCUACAACCCUGGAAGAUCCUUUGAUUCCGCUCUUUCAACUUGUGUCAUGGAAUCGUUGGAGGCAAGGCUGCCAUGAUAGACACUGUUUCCAACAAGUAGGAGAGAUACCACUGAAGAAAAAAGUUCAGAGGAAGUCCUUUUUAGGAUUUAAGUCAGUUGGAAUCCAAAAACGUCAUCCUUGGAUAAAAAAUGAUUUCCACAAGUACCUCCAUAGAAGAAUGCAUUAUGUAUUUUUCUUAAGUAGUUUCACUCCUACAAAUGAUCAAUAGAAGUCUCUCAACCCGUGCUCCAAAUCAUGAAGCAUGAUCCUAAAUUCCUAAUUGUUUAUUUUCUUAUUUUUCCCAUAGUCCCUUGUCUGUCAAAUGCUUUUGUGACGUAACAAAGUUCCUACACCCAUUUUUAUGCACCAAGAGAUGCAAAAUAAUUAAACUAUACAGGGCUAUGGGGGGCAAAGCUCAAAAAGGUUACAAAAAGGUCUCCGGUGUGUUUCCUGAGAGUGCUUCGUCAUUAGUGAGGCUAUCAGCUUCUGAAUUUUCUUUUUGCCAUGUAUGUUGCCAAAAGGUUUAAGAUUUCAUAUAUCGAUAAUACCGAUUGCAUAUGAGGUAGGAACUGUUAGAACUUAGAAAUUAUUGAUUAUUUUUGUAUUGCUAUUAAUAUUUAUGGAUUUUAAGUUCAAACUCUGUUUUUCUUAAAUGAUCCAUCUCCAUUUGUUUUCGACCAAUUUGGUUCUUUUUCCUUUGCUGCAUUUAUAUUUUGUGGGUAAUGCAGCUUUCUAGUCUUCAGUUGGUAAACUGCAUUCUAUCAAAGCUUAUUUUACCUUAGGUUCAACAAGUCUAAAUGACAACAUUACAAGGUGUUAUUUCUGAAUUUUUCUUUGGACAGGACCUUUACAUUCAUGUUGGUUGGCCUUUGUACCGAAAAUAUGGACAUGCUUUUGAGGCAUUCAAGGUGAUUGUAACUGACCCUGAUUCAGUUCUAAAUUCCCUCAGCCUGGAAGUCAGAGGAAUUGGACCUGAUGGACAGGAGGUUACAAGGGUGGUGCCAGCAAUGACAGAAGAGGUCAAAGAUGCUUUAGUAAGAAAUAUUCGAAAGGCGUAUGACCCCACAACCAUUGAAGAUACGGGCGGAUAUCGAGAUGAAAUGUUUCCAAUAUGAUGGGGUUCUUCAUAUUAAGGAGCAAGGCAUACAUGUUCUAAAUGCUGCCAUCAAAGCUUCCACUGAAGCAAUAGACCUACACAAGGGGAAACUUACUGUCAAGGAGGCUCCUAGAGCUGAGAGCGAGCAUGAUGACAAGCUUCUUGCCGAGCACAUGGCGAAGCUGAGGGCUGAUAAUGAAGAGGUCAGCGGUGAUGAGGAAACUGAAGAAGAGGAAGAUAUAGGGAUGGGCGAGAUUGAUCUUGAUAAUGCUGGUGUGACUGAGUAGAUUAUAAGACACAAAUCGAAAAGGAAAAAUUAGCUGAUUUUAUUGAAUUUACGUGUAUAGAACAGCCCCAAUUUGUGCUGCUCGUGAUUAAGGUUACAUUUGUUAUUUUCAUUGAAGUUUGCGGUGGCAGAUUUAUCUGCCUUGUAUGGAAUUUGUGAUCCUGAGAUUUUGUUAAGAGCUCUUCAGUUUUCGUGUCAUUUGGAUAUUCUACAUGAAUUACCUAUUAAUUUAA
Amborella trichopoda is the source of this 2219-nucleotide RNA transcript. It is a transcript of the gene named eukaryotic translation initiation factor 2 subunit alpha homolog, with no coding region annotated. The record is from RefSeq and is a predicted model, not a curated record. NCBI's taxonomy places the organism in Eukaryota, Viridiplantae, Streptophyta, Magnoliopsida, Amborellales, Amborellaceae.